Molecule: transfer RNA, 70 nt
Filed under: Marmota monax (woodchuck)
Lineage: Eukaryota; Metazoa; Chordata; Mammalia; Rodentia; Sciuridae
Description: tRNA.Ala
Rfam family: tRNA (bases 5-65)
About the family: Transfer RNA (tRNA) molecules are approximately 80 nucleotides in length. Their secondary structure includes four short double-helical elements and three loops (D, anti-codon, and T loops). Further hydrogen bonds mediate the characteristic L-shaped molecular structure. tRNAs have two regions of fundamental functional importance: the anti-codon, which is responsible for specific mRNA codon recognition, and the 3' end, to which the tRNAs corresponding amino acid is attached (by aminoacyl-tRNA synthetases). tRNAs cope with the degeneracy of the genetic code in two manners: having more than one tRNA (with a specific anti-codon) for a particular amino acid; and 'wobble' base-pairing, i.e. permitting non-standard base-pairing at the 3rd anti-codon position.
Source: RNAcentral
GGGCUGGGGCUCAGUGGUAGAGCGCUUGCCUAGCAUGCGUGAGGCCCUGGGUUCAAUCCUCAGCACCACA